Non-coding RNA from Caenorhabditis elegans, 264 nucleotides. NCBI's taxonomy places the organism in Eukaryota, Metazoa, Nematoda, Chromadorea, Rhabditida, Rhabditidae. The record is from Ensembl.
AUUUUGAAAUUUUGUGGAAUUUUGAAAUUUUUUGGAAUUUUGAAAUUUUGUGGAAUUUUUAAUUUUUUAAAUUUUUUGGAAUUUUGAAAUUUUAGAAAUUUUGAAAUUUUUUGGAAUUUUGAAAUUUCUUGGAAUUUUGAAAUUUCUUGGAAUUCUGAAAUUUUUUGGAAUUUUGAAAUUUUUUGGAAUAUUGAAAUUUUUUGAAAUUUUGAAAUUUUUUGGAAUUUUGAAAAUUUUGAAAUUUUUUGGAAUUUUGAAAUUUUU